RNAcentral lists this ribosomal RNA (467 nucleotides) under uncultured bacterium. RNAcentral describes it as "partial 16S ribosomal RNA". It matches the Rfam family "Bacterial small subunit ribosomal RNA", at positions 28 to 507 of the family's 1533-position model. The record is from RNAcentral.
GACGAACGCUGGCGGCGUGCUUAACACAUGCAAGUCGAACGGAAAGGCCCUGCUUUUGUGGGGUGCUCGAGUGGCGAACGGGUGAGUAACACGUGAGUAACCUGCCCUUGACUUUGGGAUAACUUCAGGAAACUGGGGCUAAUACCGGAUAGGAGCUCCUGCUGCAUGGUGGGGGUUGGAAAGUUUCGGCGGUUGGGGAUGGACUCGCGGCUUAUCAGCUGGUUGGUGGGGUAGUGGCUUACCAAGGCUUUGACGGGUAGCCGGCCUGAGAGGGUGACCGGCAACAUAGGGACUGAGAUACGGCCCAGACCCCUACGGGAGGCAGGAGUGGGGAAUAUUGCACAAUGGGCGGAAGCCGGAUGCAGCACGCCGCGUGCGGGAUGACGGCCUUCGGGUUGUAAACCGCUUUCGCCUGUGACGAAGCGUGAGUGACGGUAAUGGGUAAAGAAGCACCGGCUAACUACGUG